Molecule: long non-coding RNA, 1021 nt
Organism: Cyprinus carpio (common carp)
Lineage: Eukaryota; Metazoa; Chordata; Actinopteri; Cypriniformes; Cyprinidae
Source: Ensembl
GCUCUGGAAGUGAGCAGUCAUGACCUCUGAGAGGGUGUUUGUGUUUGUUGAUGAAGAGGAGCUGUUCAGCGUGAUGAAGGAUGCUGACUGUCUCUACUGCAGGAUUCCUGUCACUGCCUCCAAACAGCACCUCAAAAAGAGACAUCUCAGAUUCGCUAUAUAUUAUAAAGACGCCGGCAUUGGGAGGUUUUCUAUCCCCUGUUACUGCUCUGAUGGAGGCCAUGGCAGGAGCCACUGGCACUGCCCGAUGUGCUCGAAAAUAUUGCACAGGACACAGAACUACAAAAUCCACAUUACCAACCACGGUGUUGAGAUGACAGACAAAUCCUCAGCUGAGCUUCAGCCUACAACAGUCCUGUUAGAGAGCCUGCAAACACACAGCGAAGACAAGACACCGGGCAGCAAGGCAGCGUGCCAGAAGUGUGGCAUCCUCUUUACCACCACAUCAAAUUUGAGACGGCAUGAGAGACUACAGCACGGCCAAGACCAGCAGCCCAUUUUAUGCAUUCUGCUGUGUGAGCUGGAGGAAUGCUGGGAUUUCAUGAAAGCGCAGGCCCAGAGCGGGAAUCCUGGGAAGGAAUGCCGUCACCUCGUGAGAACGAAUCACGCGCAGCACUACGUCCCUCCUCCACCUCUGAGCGUCCGCUCUCUGGAGGAGAUGAGAGACAAACACCUCCUGUCCGCAUCAGAGAAACACGAGUGCCAGGAGAUGAACUCCAGGGCGUGUGUACAGGGGGUGGACUGUGUCUACCCUGUUUUUUGGGGCGAGCAUGACCUUCCAGAGAGAUGCGUCUUCUUCUCUGUGUACACUGACCUUGAGGACAAAUGGUGUCAGUUUGGGAGGACACGCGUCUCGUUCGACAGCAAGUCUGGCAGCUGGAAGUGUCUGUGUAAGCACAAAAGAAGCCGCUGCGUCCACAAGUGUUUGUGUAUGUGGUGGCUGUUUCAGGAGCGUCCCGAACUGUUGCAGGAUGCCCUAGAUGUCCACCCGGAAAGAGCUUUAAAUGACGACCUCUGCUAG